This 148-nucleotide non-coding RNA is filed under the name Gorilla gorilla gorilla (western lowland gorilla). The record is from Rfam by way of RNAcentral. Lineage: Eukaryota; Metazoa; Chordata; Mammalia; Primates; Hominidae.
GCCGGGCGUGGUGGCGGGCGCCUGUAAUCCCAGCUACUCAGGAGGCUGAGGCAGGAGAAUCGCUUGAACCCGGGAGGUGGAGCUUGCAGUGAGCUGAGAUCGCGCCACUGCACUCCAGCCUGGGCGACAGAGUGAGACUCCGUCUCAA